Non-coding RNA from Peromyscus maniculatus bairdii (prairie deer mouse), 431 nucleotides. The record is from RefSeq and is a predicted model, not a curated record. NCBI's taxonomy places the organism in Eukaryota, Metazoa, Chordata, Mammalia, Rodentia, Cricetidae.
CAGCGAGGGCCAGGAGGUGGGCGCACGGGGGACGGCGGGCAGAGCUGCCAGGCAACCUGUGCCUGAGAGUCUCUUCCUUCUCAGUGCACACAACUUGCUCUGCCACUUCCCAACUGGCGGACCACACUGUCACACCAGGCUUCCAAACACCUUCUAUAUACCUGGCUCCGGAGAAAACGGCAGGAGGCAAGACAGACAAGCUCCAGAGCAGUGCAAGGCGAAUUUAAGACGACCACCGGUGGUUAACACAGACCGCGCACAAGGGUCCAAGAAGACCAACCCUCACGGGCACCCCGGAGGGCUUCUUAAAGGAAACACCUUGUACUGUACCGGUGAGGAGCCAGCACGGUGGCCACUCUUAAGCCUACAAAGCCUCUAGUCUACUCCAGCUUCCUACUCAAGUUAUGGGGAAGUCGGUACUGCAAACAGCC